CCUGCAGUCUAGAAGACACCUCUCCUGGGGGCUAUGGCGUCUCCCUCUCCCCACCAAGCCCCGGCAGGAAGCUCUUUACUUACUGGAAGCAGUUCCUUUCUUCAGCAGUGCUCCGAAGGUACUGUCUCAGGGAAUCCAAGAACUCGCCCAGCUGCUCAGGGCACACGGCCAUCUCCUGCCGGACCAGCUGCAGCUUCCCGGAGCCAGCUGCUGCCUGAUUCUGCUGAACACAGAAACCACUGCAGCUCUGCGGGUCACCAGUACCUGGCGCCCGAGCACACGCUUGAUAUACAAUCAUCAUCAUGUCAUAGCACAGAACCCAGGGCCGCAAAGUUCCCCAAGUGGGCUAAGCAUUAGGGUCUGGGUUUAAACCAUAUCUUUUCCCC
Molecule: long non-coding RNA, 386 nt
Filed under: Rattus norvegicus (Norway rat)
Lineage: Eukaryota; Metazoa; Chordata; Mammalia; Rodentia; Muridae
Description: long non-coding RNA NONRATT014763
Source: RNAcentral